Molecule: ribosomal RNA, 445 nt
Filed under: uncultured bacterium
Lineage: Bacteria
Description: bacterial SSU rRNA
Rfam family: Bacterial small subunit ribosomal RNA
Source: RNAcentral
AACGAACGCUGGCGGCAUGCCUAACACAUGCAAGUCGAACGAAGUCUUCGGACUUAGUGGCGCACGGGUGCGUAACGCGUGGGAAUCUGCCCUUGGGUGCGGAAUAACUUCUCGAAAGGGAUGCUAAUACCGCAUAAUGUCGUAAGACCAAAGAUUUAUCGCCCAAGGAUGAGCCCGCGUAAGAUUAGCUAGUUGGUGGGGUAAAAAGCCUACCAAGGCGACGAUCUUUAGCUGGUCUGAGAGGAUGAUCAGCCACACUGGGACUGAGACACGGCCCAGACUCCUACGGGAGGCAGCAGUGGGGAAUAUUGGACAAUGGGCGAAAGCCUGAUCCAGUAAUGCCGCGUGAGUGAUGAAGGCCCUAGGGUGUAAAGCUCUUUACCAGGGACAUGAUGACGGUACCUGGAGAAUAAGCCCCGGCUAACUUCGUGCCAGCAGCCGCGGU